CUCUACACCACACCAGAGAGAGAGAGAGAGAGGUAUAAAGGGUCCAAAGAAGAAGAGAGCACUCACCACUCACCUACCUUCCCUUCCUUUGUUUGUCUUUCUCACAUUUUCAAUUGUCAAAUUCUUUAUCCAUAAAUCCAAACACACUAACACAGGAAAAGAACCUUAUUCCUAUCCACAAAACAAUGGGAACUGGUGCAUCCAAGGACUCAGAUGAAGGAAGCAAGGAAGAGAGUGAUGGCCUUGAAGAAGCUGGUCGCCAACUCUAUGUCUCUCUCAAGAUGGAGAAUCGAAAACUCACUGGUGACCUCGUUCCUCACGUUUAUGGCUCUGUUCCUCUUAUUGGCUCUUGGGAUCCUUCCAAAGCUCUUUCUAUGGAACGGGAAUCAGUGUCAAUGUGGGAACUUAGCUUUGUCAUUCCACCUAAUCAUGAAACUUUGGAUUUCAAAUUCCUGUUGAAACCUAAGCACAGCAAUGCACCUUGUUUUGUUGAGGAGGGGCCGAGCCGCCUACUAGUUGGGGGAGCAUUGCAGGAGGAUGCCAGGCUUGCGUUAUUUAGGAUUGAUAGUGGCGAGGUUCUCGAGUAUCAAGUAUUUGUUAAAGCGGACAGGGUUUCUCCCUUUGACCUUGCAGCUAGUUGGAGGGCUUAUCAGGACAAUUUUCGACCUUCAUCUGUGCGAUGGAUCCCUGACGUUAGCAUAAAUUCAGCACCUCAGACUGGUGGUGAGAAUGGUUCUUCUGUGGGUUUGGAGCUUGAUCUUGAGCAUUAUGUUGUCCCAACUCCUUCAACUUCUGCAAAUUCAGCCCAUGUAUAUGCAGCUAACAUGACAGAGAAUCCAAGGUCACUAAUUAGUGGGUCUGGCAGCAGUUCAUAUCCCGUCAAGGAGAUGGAGGUUAUUGUGCCCGAUCCAUCAAAGAUGUUUCAAAGUUCUGGAAUGGUUGAAUCCAAGUCAGUUGGAACAUUUUCACCUCUGCAAAGGCAAGAGACACAGAGGGGACUUUUUGUUGAUAGAGGUGUUGGAUCUCCUAGACUUGUAAAAUCUUCUAGUUCAAAUAUUUUCUCUACUGAUCUCAAUUUGUAUCAUGAUACCAAGAAUUCAAUGCCCGCUGCUGCUGGAGCUGUUGCUGCAGCAGCUGUUGCUGAUCAGAUGCUGGGUCCCAAGGAAGAUAGACAUUUGGCAAUUAUCCUGGUGGGUCUGCCAGCCCGAGGUAAAACCUUCACUGCUGCUAAACUUACAAGAUAUCUUCGCUGGUUAGGUCAUAAUACCAAACACUUCAAUGUUGGCAAGUAUCGUCGCCUUAAGCAUGGAGCUAAUCAGUCUGCUGAUUUCUUUCGAGCUGACAAUCCUGAGGGUGUCGAGGCACGCAAUGAGGUAGCAGCACUGGCAUUUGAAGAUAUGAUAUCUUGGAUGCAAGAAGGUGGCCAGGUUGGGAUAUUUGAUGCCACAAACAGUAGCAAGAAAAGAAGAAACAUGCUAAUGAAAUUGGCUGAAGGAAGAUGCAAGAUUAUCUUCCUGGAAACAAUAUGCAAUGAUGUAAAUAUAAUUGAAAGGAAUAUUCGUCUUAAAAUUCAGCAAAGUCCUGAUUAUGCAGAAGAGCCAGAUUUUGAGGCUGGAUUGCAAGACUUUAAAACUCGCCUAGCCAAUUAUGAGAAGGUUUAUGAGACAGUAGAAGAAGGAUCUUACAUAAAAAUGAUUGAUAUGGUCAGUGGACAUGGUGGACAAAUACAAGUGAACAAUAUCAGUGGCUACCUUCCCGGACGAAUUGUCUUUUUCUUGGUAAAUACACAUCUUACACCACGCCCAAUAUUGCUUACUCGACAUGGGGAAAGUCAGGAUAAUGUGAGAGGCAGAAUUGGAGGGGAUACUGCAAUAAGUGAGGCUGGAGAGCUUUAUGCAAAGAAGCUUGCUAACUUUGUUGGAAAGCGUCUUAAAUCAGAACGGGCUGCUUCUGUAAGCUUUAUCAAUUGUAUAGAUUCAAUCACUGCAAUUUUCCUUGGAACCCAAUGUUUACACAAAGUUGAUGCUGGAAUACUAAUAUUCUUCUAUGCAUGUGCCUAGGCUUAUAAAAAUUUGGUUUAUGACUGAGCUUAAUUGCGUCGAAUGAUCUAUGUAAUUGACUUCAUAGGAUAAGGCUUAUUUGUUACAUGUGCCUAGGCUGUUGUCUGCUAAAUCCGCAUAUAACAUUUUAUGUGGAACUGUGAUAUAUUGCCAGUGUCAUUGACGAUAUAUCACUUAAUUAUAGUGAAUCUGCUAAACAAUGUUGUGAGAAAUAGAAUCAGUUAUAAGUCAAUCAGUGAUUGACACUACUCAUUCAAUAAAUUUCAGUGGUUUAGUAAGAGAUUGAAGACUAAAACUUGGAGAAACCAUCAGAAAGAACUUAGUUUAAAAUGGCCUCUCUAAACACCUGGUUCUUGGCAUUAAAUGAUGUUGUUCGGUCCAUGACUCUCUAUAGUUGAUCUGCAGCUAGUGUGAAAAGUCUUUUGUUGUGGUUGGAGUCACUAUUUUUGGGAGGAGGGUGGGGAUGGGGGGUUAUGAUUUAUGAAUUGUGUUAAAAAAUGAGGGUAAUAGUUGUGCUGUUAAUGCAGGAAAGUUUUUUUAUUGUCUCUUGUUAGAAAAGGUUGUUGGAACUUGGGGGGGAGAGAGAGAGAGAGAAAAGAGAUACAUGUGCUGAAAACUGAUGUCUCAAGUCUCAACUACAACACAGACUCGAUAUUUUAUUAGGAAUAUGAUAAAUUCCAAAUGACAACUCUUCUAAUUACAAUAUUUACAUAGUACACUAAACCUAGACAUAAUAAUACGUUUCUGAUGAAGGCAAUACAAAGAGAGUUGCCAAACUUGCCAUGCAUUUGAAAGUAAAGAAGAUAAAUCCUAGGUUCUAUUCCUUCCUCGAAGUAAUACACAAGACAAGAUUCGUCUAUUUAAUCUAAAUAUGACUCAAUAAAUUCGAAGGCACGUCUUUGUGCUGAUGACAUUUGUGAUGGUUUAAAUUCAACAAGAGUGGAGAAGGAACAGAAAGGGUUUUAUCCAGGUUUGGACCUCAGGUAUCAUCAUAAAAGUGCAGGUUCCCUCCCAAGCAAGUUAAACCUUUUAAGAUAUGGACUAGUACGCUGCAGCGCACAAUUCUGACAGCAAGUCCAAUUGUUGGAUUUCCCAAGAUACAAUGGCGUGCACUAGAUGAGAUAAAUGCUGGGGUUUGUGAUGGCAUGACAUACGAAGAAAUCAAGAAAAACAUGCCAGGGGAGUAUGAAUCCCGCAAGAAGGACAAACUUAGGUAUCGUUAUCCUCGUGGGGAGUCAUACUUGGAUGUUAUUCAAAGGUUAGAACCUGUAAUUAUAGAGCUCGAGCGACAGCGAGCACCUGUUGUUGUGAUAUCUCACCAGGCAGUUUUGAGGGCACUAUAUGCUUAUUUUGCUGACAGGCCUUUGAAAGAAAUUCCACAUAUAGAGGUUCCUCUUCAUACAAUAAUAGAGAUUCAAAUGGGAGUUACGGGUGUCCAAGAGAAAAGAUAUAAACUAAUGGACUAAAAUGAAUUGAAGAAAAGUUCUCUUGCUAAUAUUAUGGCCAACAAACCAAUUAUCCAUUCUUCUGAUUUCAAUUUAUUAGCAAAAUGUAAUAUUCCCGUGAAUGGACUACAUUGUUUAAAAUUACCAUAACGAAGGGAAGUUAUACUCUUCAAUAUUAUUUCAUUUCAAAUGUAAAUGACUUCUCUUUU
This is an RNA transcript of Abrus precatorius (Indian licorice), 3714 nucleotides long. It is a transcript of the gene named 6-phosphofructo-2-kinase/fructose-2,6-bisphosphatase, with no coding region annotated. The transcript is spliced from 23 exons. The record is from RefSeq and is a predicted model, not a curated record. Lineage: Eukaryota; Viridiplantae; Streptophyta; Magnoliopsida; Fabales; Fabaceae.